Molecule: non-coding RNA, 28 nt
Filed under: Bombyx mori (domestic silkworm)
Lineage: Eukaryota; Metazoa; Arthropoda; Insecta; Lepidoptera; Bombycidae
Source: RNAcentral
UGAUGAUGGGUUGAAAAUCUUUUAACAG